Eriocheir sinensis (Chinese mitten crab) is the source of this 2685-nucleotide long non-coding RNA. RefSeq lists it as uncharacterized. The transcript has 2 exons. The record is from RefSeq and is a predicted model, not a curated record. NCBI's taxonomy places the organism in Eukaryota, Metazoa, Arthropoda, Malacostraca, Decapoda, Varunidae.
AGAAGAAGACAGGACAUAGAUAGACAGAGGGGCAGAGAUAUAUAGAUAGAGAGAGGUACAGAGACAGAGAUGGACAUUCACACAUAUAGAUAGACAGAGAGAACGAGACAAAGAGAAUACAGAAGGGAAACAGGGAUGGAGGGGCAGAAGAAGACAGGAGGACAUAGACAGACAGAGGAGCAGAGAUAUAUAGAUAGAGAGAGGUACAGAGACAGAGAUGGACAUUCACACAUAUAGAUAGACAGAGAGAACGAGACAGAGAUAAUACAGAAGGGAAAUACAGAUAGACACAGGCAGUUACAGAUAGACAGGGACAGAUAUAGACGGAUAUUCAUACAUCCAGACAGACAGAUAUUCACACAGACAAAGGGAUAGAAAUUCAUAUAGAUAGAUUGAAAGACAGAUUCAUACACACGAUCAGAGAAAUAGAUAGAGAUUGAGAGGGAAAGAGAGAUGGGGGAGAAGGGAUGGAGGGAGAGAUUACAAUACAUUAAUCAAUUGUACUUUUUUAUUUUUCCUUUUUUUUCUUUCGUUUGUGAAGAAAAAGAAAGGGAAUUGAUAUUUUUUUCUGACCCCAUUUUCUUCACUCAAAUUUGAUAUAUAACAAUUUUGAAAUAUACAACUUCGAAUAUAAACUUUAAUAUCUACUUUGGGAUAUUACAAUUUUGAUUCUUCAUUACUUUAGUUGAUUUUGAUUGUCACCUGUCUCUCUCAGGGUAUUAAAAUAGUUACAUAAUUACUUUAAAAGCCUUGGAGUGUUAAUUACUCUGACGUCAAUUACGUUAAGAGGUCAGGAGCUUGAUACUCGGACAAAAAAAUAAUGAAAAAUACAAAAACUAGACUAAUGAAUUUUGUAGAAGAGAGAUGGAAAUGUGAGUCACGUGAUCAUGAAAAUAUAGAAGAAAUUACAGUUUUGAAGAUGAUAUAAAUUGGAUCUUGAUGGAUGAACCGGCAGAUGAAUGGAAAAAAAGUGAUGUCAAAGGGAGAUUAUAUAUAAGAUGGAAAACGUAUAUAUAAAAGGAAAUAGGAGUUUUUUUAAUAACUGGAUGUGAGGAUAAGACUGAAGUGACUUGAGAAAGGAAAUUAAAACAAUACAAGCCAAAAAAGUAUAUAGAAAGUUAAAAAGAAAGUUCGAAAGGAGUUUUUUUUUAAUAUCUAAAGCUUAUGAAAAAGAUAAAAACUACCAACAUGAGUUUUUAAAUGAAAGGGGAAAAAAAACAAGAAGAAUAAACUCAAGACAAAAACAAAAAAACAAUAUUAAAUCCAAGACUCAUCCAUCGUACCCAGACCAAAAAAGCACCAACAAUGAAAUCAAACAAACUAAUCAUAGAAAAAAUGUUUAUGUGUGUGAGAAGAUGCUAAACGAUUUAAUGGAUGCGUGCCAACAAGUGGGUUUAAGGUUGUAUUUAAGUGGGUUUACAUGAGCCAGGUGUAGGGCAGGUGAGACAGGUGUGUUUAGGCGUGGGGAAACGAAGCAAAGGUAUAUAAUCAGCUGUCAGGUAUGAAAAUCUCCGUUCAAACUGUCAAGGCAAACAAGCCCCGCCCAUAAUAGCUUAGCAGCCAAUCAGAUUCCAGCCUCUUCCAGCCUCCGCCAAUCACGUGAGAGCAUGAGUUCAGCGCAUCGUUGCCAGAUUGUCUCAGAACAUCACAUUUCCCGGCUUCUGACCCAUUAAUACUGCAAUAAAACACUAGUAAUUAACCAUUUCAACCAUACGUAAAAAUAUAUCUAGUUAUCAGGUUGAAGGAAACAGUUUUGGGCGGUAAAUCUGCAAAUAUAAGAGUACGACUAUCUGGCAACGCUGGUUCAGAGUGGGCGUGGCUUGCGGGUGGACUGGCCAAUGAGGGGCGAUUAUUUUGAAAAUGGGAGGAGCCUAAAUUCAGAGUGGGCGUGGCUUCCGUGUGGGCUGGCCAAUGAGGUACGAGUAUUUUGGAAGUGGGAGGAGCCUGAGUUCAGAGUGGGCGUGGCUUAUUCGCCUUGAUAGUUUGAACGGUAUAAGGCAUGCAAGCUAGGAAGGUGAGGGCAAGAAUUUUACACCUUCAUGCAGAUUAAUUCAUGCUUAGAAGUGCAAGCAAACACGCACACACGCACACACACACAGACACACACACCAACAAAAACACACAUAUAAUAGCCUUCAUACAUACAUACACACAAACAUACAUACACAUCACAUUAUACAUACGGAUCAAAAUAAUAAAUAAAAAAAUCAUCAGCAUUGACCAGAAACAUCAUCCAAAAAUCAUACCAAAAAAGUCAUAUAGGAAAAAAAAUUAAAUACGAAAAAUUAUUGAGUGCUGAAAUAAACCAGCUCGUGAUAUUGUGCUUUAGUUAGAAGAUAAAAGAUAUAUUGAAAACGGAUAAAAAUACAAUCAGAUAUAUAUAAAAAAACAAAGACUGGUAAUGAAAAUAAAAUCACAUUACACCAAAAAACAACAUCGAUCAUUCCAACUUGUGAUAUUGUGGUUUAGAUAGAGAGGUAGAAGAUAAAAGAUAUAUAGACAAAAUGAUAAAAAUACAAUAGAUAUAUAUAUAAAAAAAACCAAGCUGGGAAUGAAAAUAAAAUACCAUUACACCCAAAAAUAUCGAUCAUUCCAACUUGUGAUAUUGUGGUUUAGAUAGAGAGGUAGAAGAUAAAAGAUAUAUAGACAAAAUGAUAAAAAUACAAUAGAUAUAUAAAAAAACAA